This 449-nucleotide ribosomal RNA is filed under the name uncultured bacterium. RNAcentral describes it as "partial 16S ribosomal RNA". It matches the Rfam family "Bacterial small subunit ribosomal RNA", at positions 354 to 796 of the family's 1533-position model. The record is from RNAcentral.
GUCGAGAAUCUUUCACAAUGGGGGCAACCCUGAUGGAGCGACGCCGCGUGGAGGAUAAGGUCUUCGGAUUGUAAACUCCUGUCAUGCGUGAACAAGGUUGCUUGGUUAAUACCUGGGCAAAUUGAUGGUAACGCAAGAGGAAGAGACGGCUAACUCUGUGCCAGCAGCCGCGGUAAUACAGAGGUCUCAAGCGUUGUUCGGAAUCACUGUGCGUAAAGGGUGCGUAGGUGGCGUGGUAAGUCAGAUGUGAAAGCCCGGGGCUCAACCUCGGAACUGCAUCCGAAACUGCCAUGCUAGAGUACUGGAGAGGUGACUAGAAUUCUCGGUGUAGCAGUGAAAUGCGUAGAUAUCGAGAGGAAUACCAAAGGCGUAGGCAGGUCACUGGACAGUUACUGACACUGAGGCACGAAGGCCAGGGGAGCGAACGGGAUUAGAAACCCUGGUAGUCC